RNAcentral lists this ribosomal RNA (253 nucleotides) under uncultured bacterium. RNAcentral describes it as "partial 16S ribosomal RNA". It matches the Rfam family "Bacterial small subunit ribosomal RNA", at positions 524 to 776 of the family's 1533-position model. The record is from RNAcentral.
UACAGAGGGGGCAAGCGUUGUUCGGAAUUACUGGGCGUAAAGGGCGCGUAGGCGGCCCUCUAAGUCGAACGUGAAAUCCCUGGGCUCAACCCAGGAACUGCGUCCGAGACUGGGGGGCUAGAAUCCGGGAGAGGGAUGUGGAAUUCCAGGUGUAGCGGUGAAAUGCGUAGAUAUCUGGAGGAACAUCGGUGGCGAAGGCGGCAUCCUGGACCGACACUGACGCUGAGGCGCGAAAGCUAGGGUAGCAAACGGG